Molecule: ribosomal RNA, 256 nt
Filed under: uncultured bacterium
Lineage: Bacteria
Description: partial 16S ribosomal RNA
Rfam family: Bacterial small subunit ribosomal RNA
Source: RNAcentral
GCAAGUCGAGCGGUAACAGGAAGAAAGCUUGCUUUCUUUGCUGACGAGCGGCGGACGGGUGAGUAACGCGUAGGAAUCUGCCUAGUAGAGGGGGACAACAUGUGGAAACGCAUGCUAAUACCGCAUACGCCCUAAGGGGGAAAGGAGGGGACUCUUCGGAGCCUUCCGCUAUUAGAUGAGCCUGCGUAAGAUUAGCUAGUUGGUAGGGUAAAGGCCUACCAAGGCGACGAUCUUUAACUGGUCUGAGAGGAUGGCC